AUUUAUCCUUAACAUAUUUGGAAAGUUUGACGUGCUUCUCUCGCGUAAAGUGUUACCGAGAAGCUCAGAGUCAGAACCGCAUCAAAUCACCCUCCACUGCACUCUUCAAUCGAGAGCAAAAGGAAUCUGAGCCCUCUCCAUCGCCAAACUGAGCGACAUCUCUAGGGUCCAGGGCUUCGGAAAUCACCCUUUAUAGUUUUUACAUGAAUUGCUUGACUAUUUAAUGAGAUAUUGAGGACUAUCUUCGACAAUUUGGCUCGAGUAAAUGUAUGAUUUAUGGUUUUUAAAUUAAACAAUAUUGGAUCAUCCGGCACUCUUACGAAAAAUUAAUGAAUCUUAGAAAGAAAAUUUCAUCAAUUUAAGUAUGCUCAAUUCUUUCAAGUGUGGAAUGAUGUAAAUAAGAAUUGUUCAUUUGACCCAGGCAAUCCCCUUUUCAAGUGCUUUCUCUUAGCCCAACUUUUUAAUUGCUUUAGAGUGAUAUAAUAUUGAUUUGAGGCCCUCGGCAGUAGAUAAAAUCACACCUCCUUCUGUAGUGGGCCAUUUGAUGGUUGAUUGGGUCGCCUCUCUUUAAUCUCAAUCUCUCCAUCAUCUUCUUUCUCUUAGCUGCACUUUUCUUCAUCAAUUUACUAGCUAUUUGAUUCUUGGGCUGGGAAAAAAAGCACAAAGUGUGAUUUGAUUAUUUUAGGAAAUGAACUAAAUUGAAGAGAGGAAGAGAUUUUAUUUACGUUUGGGAUUAAUGAGAGACUAAUGUGGUGAUUAUAAAAUUGUUAUUUGAGCAUAUCCAAAUUACCA
Molecule: long non-coding RNA, 792 nt
Organism: Syzygium oleosum
Lineage: Eukaryota; Viridiplantae; Streptophyta; Magnoliopsida; Myrtales; Myrtaceae
Exons: 3
Source: RefSeq, a predicted model, not a curated record